AAACUUUCAACAACGGAUCUCUUGGUUCUGGCAUCGAUGAAGAACGCAGCGAAAUGCGAUAAGUAAUGUGAAUUGCAGAAUUCAGUGAAUCAUCGAAUCUUUGAACGCAUUGCGCCCUCUGGUAUUCCGGAGGGCAUGCCUGUUCGAGCGUCAUUU
RNAcentral lists this ribosomal RNA (156 nucleotides) under Diaporthe foeniculina. Its description in RNAcentral is "5.8S ribosomal RNA". It matches the Rfam family "5.8S ribosomal RNA". Rfam says of the family: 5.8S ribosomal RNA (5.8S rRNA) is a component of the large subunit of the eukaryotic ribosome. It is transcribed by RNA polymerase I as part of the 45S precursor that also contains 18S and 28S rRNA. Lineage: Eukaryota; Fungi; Ascomycota; Sordariomycetes; Diaporthales; Diaporthaceae. The record is from RNAcentral.